This 7754-nucleotide long non-coding RNA is filed under the name Oryza sativa (Asian cultivated rice). Its description in RNAcentral is "long non-coding RNA (OSAT_LNC000414)". The record is from RNAcentral. Lineage: Eukaryota; Viridiplantae; Streptophyta; Magnoliopsida; Poales; Poaceae.
AAAAAAAAAAAUCAAAAAAACGCGUCGUCCGCUGCUCUCGUCCUCUCCUCGCCAGUAGCCACGCCGCCUCCACCCCACGAAAGCCCGAGAAGACGCCGCCGCCUCCUCCUCUGUCGAAACAUGAAUUCGGCAAUAAUAAAAUGGGGUAGCGCACGAGACCUAAAAGUGGAUGGAUGUGGAGACAAAGGAUUUAGACAGGUUCAGGCCCUCUCAAUGAGAGGUAAUACCCUACUCCUGUUUGGGGAUUUGAAUCCGCCGGGUGUGUAUUGAUCUGACGAUCUAGUUGUCUCAUGCCCCUAGAGGGGCUCCCUGCCCUCCUUAUAUAGGACGGGGGGCAGGAUUACAAGAUAGAAACCUUAACCAAUACGGUAUCGGUUUCCUAAAUCUACUUUACAAUCUUAUCAAACCAGGACUUUAGGCCGUUUCAUAAUAUACAGGGAAACGUAAUACCCAAGUCAUGAUCUGUUACAUAUUUUAUAUAUAUAAGUUAUCCCCUAUAACUAGUCGGAUAACCAUGCCGUGUGGGUAUGGGGUACCCAUAAUCUCCACAGUAGCCCCUGAGACCUUCACAGUCGGAAAGAUAAUCUUCUCUCGAACUAGAUUACUCCAAAGCCGAGUGCUUCAAUCAUCUUCGCCAUGAUCUCCCGAGUGCUUUUUCCAAAACAGAAGACUGUGGAGGGCUGAAAAAAUAAAGUCAGGUGCAUCGACUAGAUGCACCGAGUGGUUUCGAUAAUUGUAGUCAACCAAGCGACUUAAUAUUAAUAUGUAGCAUAUGCGGUGUGAAUCCCUGAAUAAUAUGAUCCAAGUGAUAUACCGACUGCUUUGUAAAAUAUGAUGAGUGUAACCUAAAGUUGGCUACAUCAUUGAAAAUUCACAUAGCAAAACAGCUAUAAAGAAGCUUGUAUGUUGUGAAUAAAGAAAUUUCCAAAGUAUUGAGCAUACGCCAUGCGCACACUGCUUUAACAGAUGUGCUUAAGUCCCUAGAAGACACAUGGUUCCACCACACCUGGAAAUAUAUGGCAUAUGUGGUAUAAAAUCCGAGUAAAUAAACUCAUAAAGGAUUUACCAACCGCCUGAAAAAUGACCACAAUAUAUAAUCAGCCUAAGCCAUAAUAUUGGUCAAUAAAAAUGCACACUUACGUGGCAAAAAGCAAUGAUAUUGUAUCCAAUCAAUUGCUUAAAAACCCAAACAGCACCAUGACUAUAUAAAAAAGUCAGCGGGCCAGCUAUAUAAAGCUUUACUGUUUGACACCUUUUAAGAUGCAUUGUACCAACUCCUAAAAAGUCGAAUAACUGCGGUAUAAAAGGAUUUUAAGGUAUUGGGCACUUGAUCACGCGCACUUUGGCCUAAGCGAAAAGUGCCUAAGUCCCUAAAAGAACGUGACAGGCCACACCUGAAAAUAUGGGCUGCAGACAUAUUAGGCCUAGGCCAAAAAAUAUGCCUUCGACACCCUUUAAAGGAUGACGCAUGUAACAUGCUUCCGAGUAAUAAAUCUUCCGGGUAAUAUAGACCAAGUGUAGCUCAUAUGAAUAGCUUCUGAUCUGAAUGAUUAUCCCUUAUGGGAUACUCCAAAAUAGGUGUAACAAUUGAAUCCCGACUGGCGCAAGUAUUCGGUUGAUAGCCCUUACGGGGAAUAAUAAUUGGUCCAGUCUUUGAGCAUAGAAAAUAGACUCAUGACUAUGAAUCCAUGUGGAAUGUAUCCGGAACAAGUCCAAAUUGGAGAUAUAAUCCUCACGCUUGAGUUGAUGAGCCCCUGAGCAUAUAGCUUGUCCUUCUGUCAUAGUCAAAAUUGUCUAUUGGCAAUAGCUGACGCAGUCGGCAUGGAGAUGAAAUGACCAACAUGAAGACGAAAUUGCUCAUCAGAAGUAACGGAAGAUGUCAGUGGUAGUAAAGAUGCCACCAAUCAAAUGUAAUGAAGUUGCAUAACCAUGGAGGCGAAGAAACCAGUCGGCAACAGUCAGGUCAGCUAGCAGUGAAGAUGUAGGCGUCCAACAACAACGAAAGAACAGUCGGUGGUGACAAAAGCAAACCGACGAUGAAGACGUAGACGCGCAUCAACGGUGAUGGCGAAAUCCACCAAUCAUGAAGAUGAAGAAAAUAAUCGGCGGCGACAAACGCAUCCGACGGUAAUGAUGAUUAGCGGCAACAGAGAUAGCCGACUAUGAUGACGAAGUUUCUCAUCAACGGCAGCAGAGUAGGCUAUGUUGAUGAGGCUUGACAAGAUGUUGAUGAAGAUGACGAUGUCGGUGAUCCAGUCAAUAGCGAUGUAGCAGCCGAUGAUAACGAUGAGAUCCUCUAUCGGCAGUUGCGUAGUAGGCCAACCGUGAAGACAAAUAAUUGGAGGAGAGUUGAUGUUGUUGCCCAACUCGUCUAAACCGAAAUAUUUGAAGUUGUUGAAGUAGAAUGUCUGCUCCGAAUCAAAGAUGAAGAUAAUGACUCCUGGAGUUGACUCGUUGGUUGAUGAAUUGAUUUCUUCAGCUUGACAUAAAAUUUGUCAAAUUUUGAGCCUUAUAUUUGUGUAGCCCCCGACUCUUUGGUUAGUUGGGAAACAACUGAACAUAGAGUCGAGAAUUAUAGCUUCUUGUCGUCGAGUAGUCAUUGCUUGAUUGAAGAUAUGUGUUGAAGAUGUCCAAGUAGAAAUCCUGAAUAUUGGAGAGCCACUUGUUGUAGUAAAAUAACAUGGCAUUGCAUGCCGAGAUGUCGAGGUUCACAAAGACGUCGUGGUUGGUGAAGUAGUAAAACUUGCGAAGUAGCAACAAUAGAGUUUCCCGGUGCCGAAGAUAAUAAAGAUGAAGUCGCCCCACCAUGAUGACAAAGUUGUAUUGCCGUAAUGAAGUGAACACAAGUCGGCGGCAACAGAAGCAAACCGGUAGUGAAGACGCGCAGUUGUGAAGAUAAAAGCACCAGUCGGCGGCGGCAUAAUCAGUCGGCGACGGAAGAUGAUGAUGUCCAUCAGUAGUGGUAGCUGUAUAAACCAGACGUAGAGGUAAGGGCACUAGUCAGCAACAGACGAGACGACCGGCGAUUAAGAUGUAGAUGCCCAACAACGGCGGCAUAAUAAGCCAGCCGUGCAUGCGGAAACUCCAGUCGGCGACGGACGAGGCGGCCGGUCGGUGAAGACGUAGACGCCCAACAACGGCGGCAUAAUAGGCCAGCGUGCAGGCGGAAACACCAGUCGGCGGCGAUGGAGGCAGGCCGGUGGUGGGGUCGUAGACGCCCAACAACGACGGCAUAAUAGGCCAGCCGUGCAGACGGAGAUACCAGUCGGCGGCGGCGAAGGCAAGCCGGUCGGUGAAGACGUAGACGCCCAUCAACGGUGGCAUAAUAGGCCAGCGUGCAGGCGGAAACACCAGUCGGCGGCGAUGGAGGCAGGCCGGUGGUGGAGUCGUAGACGCCCAACAACGACGGCAUAAUAGGCCAGCCGUGCAGACGGAGACACCAGUCGGCGGCGGCGCAGGCAAGCCGGUCGGUGAAGACGUAGACGCCCAUCAACGGUGGCAUAAUAGGCCAGCGUGCAGGCGGAAACACCAGUCGGCGGCGGACGAGGCGGCCGGUCGGUGAAGACGUAGACGCCCAACAACGGUGGCAUAAUAGGCCAGCGUGCAGGCGGAAACACUAGUCGGCGGCGGACAAGGCGGCCAGUCGGUGAAGAGGUAGACGCCCAACAACAGCGGCAUAAUAGGCCAGCCGUGCAGACGGAGAUACCAGUCGGCGGCGGCGAAGGCAAGCCGGUCGGUGAAGACGUAGACGCCCAUCAACGGUGGCAUAAUAGGCCAGCGUGCAGGCGGAAACACCAGUCGGCGGCGAUGGAGGCAGGCCGGUGGUGGAGUCGUAGACGCCCAACAACGACGGCAUAAUAGGCCAGCCAUGCAGACGGAGAUACCAGUCGGCGGCGGCGAAGGCAAGCCGGUCGGUGAAGAGGUAGACGCCCAACAACAGCGGCAUAAUAGGCCAGCCGUGUAGGCGGUGACACCAGUCGGCGGCGGCGAAAGCAAACCGGCGGUGAAAAUGUAGACGCCUGACAACGGUGUUGUGACCAACCAACCGUAUAGGCGAAGACACCAGUCGGCGGCGACGACGGCGAGCCGGUGGUGAUGUUCUGACUGAUCCAUUCCUGGAGCAUAAGAGAUAAGCUUAAAGCCAUGAAUCCCUUUUAUGCAUAUCUGGAUUUGGAUCCUGCAGAACAAACAUAUAGGAUGAGUAGUUUCUGAUGUAAAUAUAAUACUCGAGAAAAAUUCAAGCAGUUUAAAAUAUUUAUAAAUAUGUAUUUCUCCUCUUGUCAAUUUUGAUUUCCCCGAGCAGAUGACUCUGUACGUUUAAACACUCUGUCCGACUAGUCAUAACCAUCAAGCACCGGGAGUCGGCCUAGGCACUUCCCAAACAUGCAUAUGAGUGACAUGAGUUCGUCAUUAAUGGAACAAAGUUUCACGGAUCAGAAUUUACUACUCGGGUACUUUUGCAAUUAUUAAGAGCAGAAAAUAAAUUUAUCUCAUCUCUAUGCUUUAGAUUUAUUCCGAAUAAUACUUAGCACCUUGCGUUACUCGGUCCAUCCAACGAGCCCCCGGGUGCUAGGAAUCGGCCCAAAGGCAACGAUCCAUUGGCAAACCAAACGGAAAGCAUAGGAAGAUAGAACUCCAUAACUCGAUAGGUACUUUUGUACUCAGAUUAUGUCGCAAGCAAUCAAGAUAAAUAUUAUGAAAAAUAUGAUAUAACAUCUGUAGCCCCCGACUCACUACUCAAUGGAAGACCAAUUGGUGUAGUGAGGCAGAGGGAAAGGAAAAAUAUCAUAUAAAGAAUAAAAUAAAUGAUGACUUAGCUUUGUAAUAUUCCCCUUGGUGAUGGCAGAAGUGGCCAAUGUGGGAACAAAGUCGUCCAUCAAUAACAAUGAAGACACCAGUCGGCGGCGACGAAGGCGGUCGACGGUGAAAGCGAAGACGCCCAACAGCGGCGGCAUAAUAGGCCAGCCGUGUAGGCGGAGGCACCAGUCGGCGGCGACGGAGGCAGGCCGGCGGUGAAGAUGACGAUGCCCAUCAACGGUGGUGUGACCAACCGACCGUAUAGGCGGGGACACCAGUCGGCGGCGACGGAGGCAGGCCGGUGGUGAAGUCGUAGACGCCCAACAGCGGCGGCAUAAUAGGCCAGCCGUGUAGGCGGAGGCACUAGUCGGCGGCGACGGAGGCAGGCCGGCGGUGAAGAUGACGAUGCCCAUCAACGGUGGUGUGACCAACCGACCGUAUAGGCGGGGACACCAGUCGGCGGCGACGGAGGCAGGCCGAUGGUGAAGUCGUAGACGCCCAACAGCGGCGGCAUAAUAGGCCAGCCGUGUAGGCGGAGGCAUGGACGCCCAUGAACGGUGGUGUGACCAACCAACCGUAUAGGCGAGGACACCAGUCGGCGGCGACGGAGGCAGGCCGGCGGUGAAGUCGUAGACGCCCAACAGCAGCGGCAUAAUAGGCUAGCCGUGUAGGCAGAAACACCAGUCGGCGGCGGCGAAGGCAAGCCGGUCGGUGAAGACGUGGACGCCCAUGAACGGUGGUGUGACCAACCAACCGUAUAGGCGAGGACACCAGUCGGCGGCGACGGAGGCAGGCCGGCGGUGAAGUCGUAGACGCCCAACAGCAGCGGCAUAAUAGGCCAGCCGUGUAGGCGGAGGCAUGGACGCCCAUGAACGGUGGUGUGACCAACCAACCGUAUAGGCGAGGACACCAGUCGGCGGCGACGGAGGCAGGCCGGCGGUGAAGUCGUAGACACCCAACAGCGGCGGUAUAAUAGGCCAGCCGUGCAGGCGGAGGCACCACUCGGCGGCGACGGAGGCAGGCCGGUGGUGAAGUCGUAGACGCCCAACAGCGGCGGCAUAAUAGGCCAGCCGUGUAGGCGGAGGCACCACUCGGCGGCAACGGAGGCGGGCCGGCGGUGAAGUCGUAGACGCCCAACAGCGGCGGCAUAAUAGGCCAGCCGUGUAGGCGGAGGCACCACUCGGCGGCGACGGAGGUAGGCCGGCGGUGAAGUCGUAGAUGCCCAACAGCGGCGGCAUAAUGGGCCAGCCGUGUAGGCGGAGGCACCAGUCGGCGGCGACGGAGGCAGGCCGGCGGUGAAGUCGUAGACGCCCAACAGCGGCGGCAUAAUAGGCCAGCCGUGUAGGCGGUGGCACCACUCGGCGGCAACGGAGGCAGGCCGGCGGUGAAGUCGUAGAUGCCCAACAGCGGCGGCAUAAUAGGCUAGCCGUGUAGGCGGAGGCACCAGUCGGCGGCGACGGAGGCAGGCCGGCGGUGAAGUCGUAGACGCCCAACAGCGGCGGCAUAAUAGGCCAGCCGUGUAGGCGGAGGCAUGGACGCCCAUGAACGGUGGUGUGACCAACCAACCGUAUAGGCGAGGACACCAGUCAGUGGCGGCAGAGGCAGCGAGCGAUACUUGGUAAUCUUGAUGCGAGAUGCAUGUGCGUAGAUAUAGUCCCUGCCUUGAAAUACAAGAUGAAUCUUGGUGACUUGGGAAAUUCAACCAUUGCCUUCAUGGUCUUGGUGAUGAUGAUUUUGCUCUGUAUACGCUUGACGCUAAAUUGUAGAGUAAUCUUUCUGGGCAGAGCAGUAUUGAUCGAUGUGCAUGCAUAGCUGUAUUUAGGCCGACGGCUUCCUCUGAUUGGUCGGCUGGUUUCCCAUGCACACAGAAAGUACCGGAUUGGCUUAUGUGCUUGUUACAUGCAAUUGCUAAUGACGCUGGCCCAUGAUGAUUGCUCCAAUCGAUUGGCUGCGAGGACAAGUUGACUCGGAUUUGGAUUAAUAAUUGGAUCUCGUCGGGAGAUACGAUACCAACAAGAUGCCGGCGCCACAGAUGCCGGCGGCUGAGAAUUGAUACGCAUCCCUGAAUAGAUUAAAACAGAUGAUGACUGCGGUGCGGCCACCUUCUUCAAUGAAACUGAUAAACAUAGCGGCGGCCGGACGAGAUCAAGGUAGUCUUGAACCUUCCCGACUUGAUUAGGUCCAAGUGAGAAAUCGAGAGCUUUCCGAAGUCGUCGACGAAGAAACCGAAGCAGGAGAUUGGUUGUAAAGCGACGACGAAUCCGGCAAUGCUGAAGGUUAGUUUCCAUCGCACUUGUCAAUGGGAAACUCGACGCACCCCUACCUGGCGCGCCAACUGUCGAAACAUGAAUUCGGCAAUAAUAAAAUGGGGUAGCGCACGAGACCUAAAAGUGGAUGGAUGUGGAGACAAAGGAUUUAGACAGGUUCAGGCCCUCUCAAUGAGAGGUAAUACCCUACUCCUGUUUGGGGAUUUGAAUCCGCCGGGUGUGUAUUGAUCUGACGAUCUAGUUGUCUCAUGCCCCUAGAGGGGCUCCCUGCCCUCCUUAUAUAGGACGGGGGGCAGGAUUACAAGAUAGAAACCUUAACCAAUACGGUAUCGGUUUCCUAAAUCUACUUUACAAUCUUAUCAAACCAGGACUUUAGGCCGUUUCAUAAUAUACAGGGAAACGUAAUACCCAAGUCAUGAUCUGUUACAUAUUUUAUAUAUAUAAGUUAUCCCCUAUAACUAGUCGGAUAACCAUGCCGUGUGGGUAUGGGGUACCCAUAAUCUCCACAUCCUCCUCCUCCCACCUCUACUCCGGCCACCGGCCGCCUCCUCCCACGCUCCCCCCGCCGCCGCCGCCGCCGCCGCCGCCGCCAUCGCCACCCGCCUCCUCCUUCUAGCAGUAGUAAUAAAGGAAGGAAGAAAAUCCACCGCCCUACCCCUAUCUAUCCGUUGCCUCACGUCCGUUUCCCAC